Long non-coding RNA from Hippocampus comes (tiger tail seahorse), 1622 nucleotides. RefSeq lists it as uncharacterized. The record is from RefSeq and is a predicted model, not a curated record. NCBI's taxonomy places the organism in Eukaryota, Metazoa, Chordata, Actinopteri, Syngnathiformes, Syngnathidae. The transcript is spliced from 2 exons.
GGACUCUGAUUGCAGGCACACUUUCACACCGGUGGAGGGAUCAGAGCGGCUUCGCGAGAUGACUUAACCUCGUUUGUCUCGAAUCAGCAUAAUAGCAGAGCGAUUGAGGAAAGUGCGCGCAAUUACGCUAGGCUUUUGUCUCAGAGCGGACAACAUUACUCAGCUGGUGAGCCCCGGCGGCAUUUCGGAGCUUUGUGGCGUCUGAUGAUAAGAGUGAGAAGAGUUGUGUGGUCUUGACAGCUGUUUGGGCAGGUGUCACCCGCCGUGUGUGAACGUCGACUGUCGGAAUUUCUCCCACAAGCUGCUUCCUUUCAAAACCCGCCCUCUGCAAAAUGAUUACGCAAUGAUUGGAGGUACCACCGUUUUCUGUGUCUUUGAUUUUCACGAACUGUGGGUUUGGGAAUCCCUUUGAGACCCUUUUGUGUGUUUAAGGGCAACUUGACUUGAACUUGUUUCUGCGUUGGCCCAUCAAAAUCAUGCUUGACGUGGAACGGCAAGACUGCAUACUUUGACCUCAUCGCUCGCCAUGGACAUGAAUAAUUGAGGGCUUCCCGUGGUCGACCCGAAGCUCCUGGAAAGACAACGAUGAGCAGAAAAGUCCAGUCGUUAUGGCACGGAGCCAGAAUGACAAUUAGGUCCAGGAAAUAUGGACAGGCUCGCACAAGAUUUGAAUGCGAUUUCCUGGAGUGUGGAAUUUGAUGGUACGUGGCUUAAAAAAAAAAAACCCAAAACAAACAAUUCAAGACUUUUAAUGCCCCAGGUCUUAAACGGCUCUUAACCUCCUCAUGAACCAGCCUUGAUUGAAUCUUGAAUGAAACAAAGACGAGCCUGAUCUUCACGAUGUGAACCCCCUGCGAGGAUAAUAAAGAUCACCGGAGCCCAUUUGCACCGUAUUCGGAGCUGUGCAUUCUCGAUGCCGGUUUCAUAACUGUUCCUUGACAUAGUAAAGCAGCCCUUCCGCGAUACACGGUGAUGUAAGGCAAACUGUUUUCUGUGUCUUCUGUCGCAGCGUCGCUUUCUUACAAAGCAUCCAGUUUGUCACUCGGAAUCAAAUCAUGGGCGGAUUCGCAAUUUAGCCACCGAGCACUUCCACUCAGCUGCAAAUUAGGACAGUUUGUGCAACGAGGUCACUGGAAAUGGGUUAGCGAUGUCACCGGGCAACGAAACGGAAUUUCAUAUUGACCGCGAUUGAGAAAGAUUGUUUGUUUCCUUCCAUUCUUUUUCCAUGUGCCACCUGUUUGUUUUGCAUGACGAGCAAAUGUUUCCCAAUGAUGCCGCUUUGCCGCACGAGCAGCCCAUGAGAGACGUGUGACGGAGUAGCUCAUCGCCGGCAAAGUUUCCAUGAACGAAGUGACUCAUCUGGGAUGUCAAACACAGCAUCGCUCUGGGGCUGCGCCACUCAACGUGUACAAUGGUGAAAGUCUUCAUCAAGCCAUCUGCUAAGAGGUUUGUUUUCUAUCCCUCCCCCCCAAAUGUGUCAUUAUCCCGGAGGAAGCCAGGAAGAGUAUUCAAUCACGGCGUUUGUCAACCCUGCCAACAUAUACAAUCAGUUAAGAACGUGAUCCCGAAGCCUGUAUUCGACAUUUAAAUUCAAACACAAGAUGACACCAAAAAAAAAAAAA